This 117-nucleotide ribosomal RNA is filed under the name Clostridiaceae bacterium. The record is from RNAcentral. Lineage: Bacteria; Bacillati; Bacillota; Clostridia; Eubacteriales; Clostridiaceae.
UCCGGUGACUAUAACGGAGAGGAUCCACCUGUUCCCAUUCCGAACACAGAAGUUAAGCUCUCCAGUGCCGAAGAUACUUGGCUGGACACGGCCUGGGAAAAUAGGUCGUUGCCGGAU